RNAcentral lists this ribosomal RNA (253 nucleotides) under uncultured bacterium. Its description in RNAcentral is "partial 16S ribosomal RNA". It matches the Rfam family "Bacterial small subunit ribosomal RNA", at positions 524 to 776 of the family's 1533-position model. The record is from RNAcentral.
UACGUAGGGGGCGAGCGUUGUCCGGAGUUACUGGGCGUAAAGCGCACGCAGGCGGUCUGCUAAGUUUGGAGUGACAGUUGGUGGCUUAACUGCCAAAGUGCUUCGAAAACUGACAGACUUGAGGGCUUCAGAGGGACACGGAAUUCCGGGUGGAGUGGUGAAAUGCGUAGAGAUCCGGAGGAACACCAAAGGCGAAGGCAGUGUCCUGGGUAGUACCUGACGCUCAGGUGCGAAAGCCAGGGGAGCGAACGGG